Molecule: RNA transcript, 2471 nt
Organism: Lolium rigidum
Lineage: Eukaryota; Viridiplantae; Streptophyta; Magnoliopsida; Poales; Poaceae
Exons: 4
Source: RefSeq, a predicted model, not a curated record
AAUCCAACAACUCAAUCUGAAUCCCCAUCCUCUCUCCUCUUCCGCGAUGAGGAAGGCGGGGACGCGCCGGAGCCUUGAGGAGCGGACAGUGCCGGAAUUACAGGAGGACGUCGCGGCCCUCGCCGUGUAUCGCGCCGCCGGAUGAGGGCGCGCUGCAGUGGCAUUGGACGGGUCGUCCGCCGCUGUAGGGCUAGGUCUCCUAUCUCGACCCUGCCAAGAUCGAGAAGGUGUGCGUUCUGUCCCCUCCACCAUUCUCUCUCACACAACUAGAAUUCGAUCUUCGAGGAUGAACCAGAUUAUCUCCAAAAUGCCUUCGGCGGGAUGGGUCGUCGUACGCGGUGGUUCCUGUUUCGUUCCUGUAACAGGCUGGGGAUGUGUUUAGUUGUAAAUUGAGUCAGAUUGGUGUGAUCAUGGGUUUCAUAUGGCAAAGUGACUAUCUGGUUUGGGUUAGCUGUGGAGAGUGGUGGCUCCUGUAUCUUUUGCUUACGCGAUGUUGCUAUUGCUCGCUUUUCAGUCGCGGUGUCAUUUGGCUAGGUGAUGCAUCCAUGGCGUGCCCGUGGGCGGGUGUGGCAUGCGCUAUUCCGUGUGGCCUGUGCUUUGGCUGGAAGGGAUUUGCAUGGUGUUUCCUCAGCGUGCUUCUCUUGGGAUUCUGUUUCGGUUGUUAAGUUUGUUCAGGUGAGUUUGUUUCAGAUGAAAAGCUGGUAGCGCCCACAGGGUCAUCGUUGUCUGGUAGCCUGGUGUAAUGUUUGAUGCAUGCUCAAGUUUUGUUUUCAGUUGUGUUUUUUUUCAGCUGGGUACCUUUGCUUGUGUUUGACAGCUUGUUUGUGCGCUAUGUCUUGUGGCAUUGGAGUGGAUGCAUCUGUCCCAACACCUUGCUCUAUCCUCUGAAAUAUUGUUGUAACCCCAAGUAUAGGGAUCUCCAAAAGCUAGCUGUUUAAUUGAGGAUUCAAUUCCAUAUCAUGACUACACCUACAAAAGCUAGCAGCUUAUGCAAGUUUUGGGAAACCUCUGCCCGGCUAUCCUUCUAUCGAAAUCUGGGUGGAAUGAGAAACCCAUCCUUGUUUAUAUCCAGAAAGUAAGAGGAAACAUUAAGUGUUGGGAGCUUAAUUUAGUGUUUUCUCUUAGGUUUCUAUUUGGAUAAGUAAAAAUGUAAAAUGAGCGUUUCUUCAAUGUAUCUAUCACACAUUGUUGUUGGUUGUCGGGUGAGCGCUUAAUUUAGCGCUUCUUCACUGAUAUGGAUAGUCACACCUCACACGUUAGGCAAAAUGGUGUAGUGGUUGGGCCAGGUAGCUUGCAGCUAAUGGUUUCAGAACAGUAGUUCUUGAGGGGCACUUAAUUAUUAAUAUCUAAACCUAUAUAUUGUUUGCAACCUUUGUUUAAUUUCCGUGGUAUAGUUAGGUGUCAUAUGGGAGCAGUAAUAAAGAAAUGGGAGUAGCUACCUAAUAUAAUUUCAUUAACUUAUUUGAAGUUCUCAACCAUUCUUUCGUGUCUUUGCUAGCCGCAAAUCAAUAGUUCAACAUUUGCCGAACAGCCGCAGUUUUUUUUUUUUUUUUUGUAGAAUGCUAGAGAUGGAAAAAAAUUAUAUUGUUUUUGUAGUUAUGGGAGUAAAGAAGGAUUUCUCAUGCAUACUUUUGAGGUAGCGUUUCAAUGCAGAGAGUGGCCUUACUAAUCUGGUACAUUUGCAUGCCUGACAAAGGCCACGGUAUGGAUGCUUUCCCGGUGAUGCAGUUCAUUCAGCACUGUUUUGAGGCACUGAAAGAGAAAACUUUGAAAGGACUACAGUAUUUUGAAACAGUGAUAAGGAUUACAACCGCAAGAUACGUGCCGAGCAUGUUUCACUGUGAUUUUGGUAAUUCAAAAUAGUUUGCAAGACAAGCUUAGUUCAAAAUUCAGUCCGGCUGCCGUCAUAAUUCUUUUCAUGUAAGCAUCUUUUGCCUAAGGUAAUUCUCUAGCUUAGUUCAGUGAUAGUCUAGCUUUCAUGAUAUUUUUUCUUUAAUCAUCUUUACCUGUCUGCAAAGUGCUAAGCCUAACUAUUGUAUUUGCUUUUUCACGCAAAACCAAGUGUAAAGUAUGUGAGCAAUAUGGUUGGAGCAUUUACCUUUCUCGGCCGAUUGUCCGUCGAUUUGUUGUAUCACAGAUGGAUGUGGCAUGAUGCUGUGUGAGGUAGGCGUAGAUCAUCUAAGCGGACCUGGAAUCGGAACUAAUGGUGCGCUCUACUUCUCCACAUGGUUUGGGUGCAUGUACCAUGUUGUUAGAGCAUCCAUGGCGCAAGGCGUUUACCUGAACCAGGGAAAGCAAGAUAGCGUUGGGUGCCAUCUUUUUUUUGCAUCGAUCGGCAUUGAAGGCAUUGAUGUUGCGGCUGCUCUUAGAGGCUUGUGAUAGUUUACUUGUUCACACGUUGCAUGUGCAAUGAAUCGAGAGAGUUGGUUGCUAUGCUGGGCUACCAUGAUGUCGAUCGCUAACUCAUGUCA